ACUCCUACGGGAGGCAGCAGUGGGGAAUAUUGCACAAUGGGCGGAAGCCUGAUGCAGCAACGCCGCGUGCGGGAUGACGGCCUUCGGGUUGUAAACCGCUUUCGCCUGUGACGAAGCGUGAGUGACGGUAAUGGGUAAAGAAGCACCGGCUAACUACGUGCCAGCAGCCGCGGUGAUACGUAGGGUGCGAGCGUUGUCCGGAUUUAUUGGGCGUAAAGGGCUCGUAGGUGGUUGAUCGCGUCGGAAGUGUAAUCUUGGGGCUUAACCCUGAGCGUGCUUUCGAUACGGGUUGACUUGAGGAAGGUAGGGGAGAAUGGAAUUCCUGGUGGAGCGGUGGAAUGCGCAGAUAUCAGGAGGAACACCAGUGGCGAAGGCGGUUCUCUGGGCCUUUCCUGACGCUGAGGAGCGAAAGCGUGGGGAGCGAACAGGCUUAGAUACCCUGGUAGUCCACGCUGUAAACGGUGGGUACUAGGUGUGGGGUCCAUUCCACGGGUUCCGUGCCGUAGCUAACGCUUUAAGUACCCCGCCUGGGGAGUACGGCCGCAAGGCUAAAACUCAAAGGAAUUGACGGGGGCCCGCACAAG
This 584-nucleotide ribosomal RNA is filed under the name uncultured bacterium. RNAcentral describes it as "bacterial SSU rRNA". It matches the Rfam family "Bacterial small subunit ribosomal RNA", at positions 335 to 929 of the family's 1533-position model. The record is from RNAcentral.